GACGAACGCUGGCGGCGUGCUUAACACAUGCAAGUCGAGCGGUAAGGCCCUUUCGGGGGUACACGAGCGGCGAACGGGUGAGUAACACGUGGGUGACCUGCCCUCCAGCUCUGGGAUAAGCCUGGGAAACUGGGUCUAAUACCGGAUAUGACUCCAUGACGCAUGUUGUGGGGUGGAAAGCCUUGUGCGGCUGAGGAUGGGCCCGCGGCCUAUCAGCUUGUUGGUGGGGUGAUGGCCUACCAAGGCGACGACGGGUAGCCGGCCUGAGAGGGCGACCGGCCACACUGGGACUGAGACACGGCCCAGACUCCUACGGGAGGCAGCAGUGGGGAAUCUUGCGCAAUGGGCGAAAGCCUGACGCAGCGACGCCGCGUGAGGGAUGACGGCCUCGGUGUAAC
RNAcentral lists this ribosomal RNA (398 nucleotides) under uncultured bacterium. Its description in RNAcentral is "bacterial SSU rRNA". It matches the Rfam family "Bacterial small subunit ribosomal RNA", at positions 28 to 429 of the family's 1533-position model. The record is from RNAcentral.